This is a long non-coding RNA of Cyprinus carpio (common carp), 1060 nucleotides long. Lineage: Eukaryota; Metazoa; Chordata; Actinopteri; Cypriniformes; Cyprinidae. The record is from Ensembl.
UAAUAUACUCCUUAUAUUCACUACUGAUUUAGACUAAGUUUUAAAUUCUGAUGUUUUAGAUUUAGAUGAUUUUUCUUUAUGGAUUAAUGUCUGUUUAUUUAUGUGUUUCCCCUGCAGAAGAGGGAUGUGUUUGGACCACACAGUGUUCAGGGACAUGUGGAUGGAUGUAAUGAUGGACAUCCGCUCGUGGACAGGUAAGACUUCUAACUUGUGUUUUUGUUUUGUUGUGUUCUAAACAUGUAGGUUACCAUCAUUUUCUUUUUGGAGGGUGACUCCUCUAGAAAGCAAAUGAUGGUAACCUAAACAGGUGGGGAAGGGACGGCGGAGCUGAAAAUUUAUACAGCAAAAUUUUAUUUAUUUUUUCGGCCAAGAAGUAUAACCCCUGCUGGACAUGGUGCCGGGGCUCGGGGGGGACCCGAAUCAUCCCCAUCCCUUCAUUCACACAACACUCACUCAUAUCGCGGAGAUCUGGCUGGGAUCGAACCAGCAACCUCUGAACCGUGAGGCAGCGCUCUUACCUAGAGAUGAAACUGGACAUGCCACGCUCGUCUGGAAGAGAUGAUGAUAUGCAGGAUCCAGUGACAAAUCCUGAAAAGCUGAGAGCUCAUAUCACGUUUUUAACUUUUAUAUAAAGUGAACAGUGUAGCACUACAUUCACAGCUUUUUUGGGGGGGAUAAAAGUUUCUUGUUAACAAGAAACUGAUUAAUAAUAAUACAUUAAUGUAUUUACUCACCCAUGGAUGCUAGUAGUAUCCAAAAAUAAUAUCCCACCAAGACAAUCUAAAGAUGGGGGAAAAUAAGGCUAUCAAGAGUGAGAGAGUCUGUUUGGAAACCUAACUUAUAUAAAGUGACAGUAUCUCUUCUGAAGGAUCGAUACAAAGGAUUUGGAGGGACCAAGUAAGAAAGGAGUGGGCAGAGCUAGUGAGAGAAAGCCAACUCCUCUUAAACUUUACAGAAGAAUACAGAAAAGAAAUGUAGCAUCAAAAGUGUUACAUGUGACAGCUUUUAAAAGAAAGCUGUGCUUCACAUUACAUUUCAAAUAAAAUGAAAAUACAGCACA